AUCCAACUGGCGAGUCUCAAACAGGACGAAACACGUGUCCUGGAU
This 45-nucleotide non-coding RNA is filed under the name Schistosoma curassoni. The record is from RNAcentral. Lineage: Eukaryota; Metazoa; Platyhelminthes; Trematoda; Strigeidida; Schistosomatidae.